UACGUAGGGACCAAGCGUUGUCCGGAAUCAUUGGGCGUAAAGAGCGUGUAGGCGGCUUGUUAAGUCUUGCGUGAAAUCUCGGGGCUCAACCCCGAGCGGUCGUGAGAAACUGGCAGGCUAGAGUGCGGGAGAGGAGAGUGGAAUUCCAGGUGUAGCGGUGAAAUGCGUAGAUAUCUGGAGGAACACCGGUGGCGAAGGCGGCAUUCUGGACCAUAACUGACACUGAGAGACGAAAGCCAGGGGAGCAAACGGG
Molecule: ribosomal RNA, 253 nt
Filed under: uncultured bacterium
Lineage: Bacteria
Description: partial 16S ribosomal RNA
Rfam family: Bacterial small subunit ribosomal RNA
Source: RNAcentral